Long non-coding RNA from Euleptes europaea (tarantolino), 299 nucleotides. RefSeq lists it as uncharacterized. The record is from RefSeq and is a predicted model, not a curated record. NCBI's taxonomy places the organism in Eukaryota, Metazoa, Chordata, Lepidosauria, Squamata, Sphaerodactylidae. The transcript is spliced from 3 exons.
AACGCAACAAAAGCCAUCCUAUUUAGAGCCAAGAUUUGGCAGCCCAAGAAUUUGCCAGUCAGGAUGAAAAACAUCUAAUGGAAUCCAGCUUGAAAGCCAGUCAAGGGCUGCUAAGUGAGCAAGAGGCAGAAACACUCCGUCCUGCCCAGUAGAAAAAUCACAGGCAGAGCUGAAGCCACUGAGAGAACGCAUUAUAGAUUCUCAUGAAGAAAUUAGUGACUACAAUGUUUCCAUGUGCUCGAAAUGAUAUCAAGGAUCAUGAUGGCUUUGUGCGGUCCAUCAGAUACUGGUUGCUAGAA